This 47-nucleotide ribosomal RNA is filed under the name Leishmania tropica. RNAcentral's name for it is "partial 5.8S ribosomal RNA". The record is from RNAcentral. Lineage: Eukaryota; Euglenozoa; Kinetoplastea; Trypanosomatida; Trypanosomatidae.
CGAUGGAAGACUUGGCUUCCUUUUUCUUUGAAAAACGCAAUAAAGUG